UCAACCCCUUUAAGCCGUUGAAACUGGUGAUCUUGAGUGGGCGAGAAGUAUGCGGAAUGCGUGGUGUAGCGGUGAAAUGCAUAGAUAUCACGCAGAACCCCGAUUGCGAAGGCAGCAUACCGGCGCCCUACUGACGCUGAGGCACGAAAGUGCGGGUAUCGA
RNAcentral lists this ribosomal RNA (162 nucleotides) under uncultured bacterium. RNAcentral describes it as "partial 16S ribosomal RNA". It matches the Rfam family "Bacterial small subunit ribosomal RNA", at positions 609 to 771 of the family's 1533-position model. The record is from RNAcentral.